Molecule: ribosomal RNA, 404 nt
Filed under: Verrucomicrobiota bacterium
Lineage: Bacteria; Pseudomonadati; Verrucomicrobiota
Description: Verrucomicrobia bacterium partial 16S ribosomal RNA
Rfam family: Bacterial small subunit ribosomal RNA
Source: RNAcentral
UGGGGAAUAUUGCACAAUGGGGGAAACCCUGAUGCAGCGACGCCGCGUGAGCGAAGAAGGUUUUCGAAUCGUAAAGCUCUGUCCUAUGAGAAGAUAAUGACGGUAUCAUAGGAGGAAGCCCCGGCUAAAUACGUGCCAGCAGCCGCGGUAAUACGUAGGGGGCUAGCGUUGUCCGGAAUCACUGGGCGUAAAGGGUUCGCAGGCGGAAUAACAAGUCAGAUGUGAAAGGCAUGGGCUCAACCCAUGUAAGCAUUUGAAACUGUAAUUCUUGAGAAGUGGAGAGGUAAGUGGAAUUCCUAGUGUAGCGGUGAAAUGCGUAGAUAUUAGGAGGAAUACCUGUGGCGAAGGCGACUUACUGGACACAAAUCUGACGCUGAGGAACGAAAGCGUGGGUAGCAAACAGG